RNAcentral lists this ribosomal RNA (254 nucleotides) under uncultured bacterium. RNAcentral's name for it is "partial 16S ribosomal RNA". It matches the Rfam family "Bacterial small subunit ribosomal RNA", at positions 524 to 776 of the family's 1533-position model. The record is from RNAcentral.
UACGUAGGGGGCUAGCGUUGUCCGGAAUCAUUGGGCGUAAAGGGCGCGUAGGUGGCCUGGCAAGCGUGCGGUGAAAGCUCGGGGCUCAACCCCGAGUCGGCCGUGCGAACUGCUAUGGCUCGAGCACUGUAGAGGCAGGCGGAAUUCCGGGUGUAGCGGUGGAAUGCGUAGAGAUCCGGAAGAACACCGGUGGCGAAGGCGGCCUGCUGGGCAGUAGCUGACACUGAGGCGCGACAGCGUGGGGAGCGAACAGG